CAAGGCUUGGCAGUGCCUCUGGACAGCCAAGGCCAGGGGAUCGAUGUUCAGGGCCUGGGGUGGCGACAGUGGUGAGCUCUCCUGGGUCCACUGGCUUUCCCUUCAACAGAGCCCCUGGGGAGCAGCCCCCUGGAGGCUGGCCUGAGACAUUCCUAUGUCCUGCUCGCCCACAGGCCUUCUUCGAGGCAGCCAGCAUGAUGAGACAGGUCUCCCACAAACACAUCGUGUACCUCUAUGGCGUCUGUGUCCGCGACGUGGAGAAUAUCAUGGUGGAAGAGUUUGUGGAAGGGGGUCCUCUGGAUCUCUUCAUGCACCGGAAAAGCGAUGUCCUUACCACACCAUGGAAAUUCAAAGUUGCCAAACAGCUGGCCAGUGCCCUGAGCUACUUGGAGGAUAAAGACCUGGUCCAUGGAAAUGUGUGUACUAAAAACCUCCUCCUGGCCCGUGAGGGCAUCGACAGUGAGUGUGGCCCGUUCAUCAAGCUCAGUGACCCCGGCAUCCCCAUUACGGUGCUGUCUAGGCAAGAAUGCAUUGAACGAAUCCCAUGGAUUGCUCCCGAGUGUGUUGAGGACUCCAAGAACCUGAGUGUGGCUGCUGACAAGUGGAGCUUUGGAACCACGCUCUGGGAAAUCUGCUACAAUGGCG
This 645-nucleotide small RNA is filed under the name Pan troglodytes (chimpanzee). Its description in RNAcentral is "processed transcript". The record is from RNAcentral. Lineage: Eukaryota; Metazoa; Chordata; Mammalia; Primates; Hominidae.